AGUGAACGCUGGCGGUAGGCCUAACACAUGCAAGUCGAACGGCAGCACAGUAAGAGCUUGCUCUUACGGGUGGCGAGUGGCGGACGGGUGAGGAAUACAUCGGAAUCUACUUUUUCGUGGGGGAUAACGUAGGGAAACUUACGCUAAUACCGCAUACGACCUACGGGUGAAAGCAGGGGAUCUUCGGACCUUGCGCGAUUGAAUGAGCCGAUGUCGGAUUAGCUAGUUGGCGGGGUAAAGGCCCACCAAGGCGACGAUCCGUAGCUGGUCUGAGAGGAUGAUCAGCCACACUGGAACUGAGACACGGUCCAGACUCCUACGGGAGGCAGCAGUGGGGAAUAUUGGACAAUGGGCGCAAGCCUGAUCCAGCCAUACCGCGUGGGUGAGGAAGGCCUUCGGGUUGUAAAGCCCUUUUGUUGGGAAAGAAAAGCGGCAGGUUAAUACCCCGCUGUUCUGACGGUACCCAAAGAAUAAGCACCGGCUAACUUCGUG
RNAcentral lists this ribosomal RNA (492 nucleotides) under uncultured bacterium. Its description in RNAcentral is "partial 16S ribosomal RNA". It matches the Rfam family "Bacterial small subunit ribosomal RNA", at positions 29 to 507 of the family's 1533-position model. The record is from RNAcentral.